This 253-nucleotide ribosomal RNA is filed under the name uncultured bacterium. Its description in RNAcentral is "partial 16S ribosomal RNA". It matches the Rfam family "Bacterial small subunit ribosomal RNA", at positions 524 to 776 of the family's 1533-position model. The record is from RNAcentral.
UACAGAGGUCUCAAGCGUUGUUCGGAUUCAUUGGGCGUAAAGGGUGUGUAGGUGGCGCGCUAAGUCGGGUGUGAAAUUUCGGAGCUUAACUCCGAAACUGCAUUCGAUACUGGCGUGCUUGGGGACUGGAGAGGAGACUGGAAUUCAUGGUGUAGCAGUGAAAUGCGUAGAGAUCAUGAGGAAGACCAGUGGCGAAGGCGGGUCUCUGGACAGUUCCUGACACUGAGACACGAAGGCCAGGGGAGCAAACGGG